CAGUAGCCGCGGUAAUACGUAGGGUGCGAGCGUUAAUCGGAAUUACUGGGCGUAAAGCGUGCGCAGGCGGUUCGUUAAGACAGAUGUGAAAUCCCCGGGCUUAACCUGGGAACUGCAUUUGUGACUGGCGAGCUAGAGUAUGGCAGAGGGGGGUAGAAUUCCACGUGUAGCAGUGAAAUGCGUAGAGAUGUGGAGGAAUACCGAUGGCAAAGGCAGCCCCCUGGGCCAAUACUGACGCUCAUGCACGAAAGCGUGGGGAGCAAACAGGAUUAGAUACCCCCGUAGUCCCUGUCUCUUAUAC
Molecule: ribosomal RNA, 301 nt
Filed under: uncultured bacterium
Lineage: Bacteria
Description: partial 16S ribosomal RNA
Rfam family: Bacterial small subunit ribosomal RNA
Source: RNAcentral